AACAUCAUCCCAGAGCGGUUAAGGCGCUAGCUUCAGGUGCUAGUAGAGAAAUCUGCGUGGGUUCGAGUCCCACUCUUGUCA
Paraphoma chrysanthemicola is the source of this 81-nucleotide non-coding RNA. The record is from the annotation of a GenBank genome assembly. Lineage: Eukaryota; Fungi; Ascomycota; Dothideomycetes; Pleosporales; Phaeosphaeriaceae.